AGCCGAAACAAGGGACUGUUUCCCUUGUCCGUGCGGGAUGGCGACCUGCACGCUGAUGAUGGCAAGCCAAAU
Molecule: non-coding RNA, 72 nt
Filed under: Parageobacillus toebii
Lineage: Bacteria; Bacillati; Bacillota; Bacilli; Caryophanales; Anoxybacillaceae
Source: RNAcentral